UUGAAAUAAACCUGAUAGGUUGCUGCUGGUUCAUUAAUGAACAUGUGCGCACUUGUCAUCUUUAUAUCUCCACCUGUGCACCUUUUGUAGACCUAGACAAUUUUCUUAAUGUUUAGCAUUAAGGUUUUUAGGAUUGACUUUUGUCUCUCCUUAUAUUUCUAGGUCUAUGUCUAUUCAUAUACCCUAAUGUAUGUUAAAGAAUGUAAUAAGUGGGUCUUUGUGCCUAUAAUACUAUA
Molecule: unclassified non-coding RNA, 236 nt
Filed under: uncultured Cortinarius
Lineage: Eukaryota; Fungi; Basidiomycota; Agaricomycetes; Agaricales; Cortinariaceae
Description: sequence contains ITS1
Source: RNAcentral